UACAGGUCACCCACGGAGGCAGGUUAGUGGACUGGUUCUAAUUAUAACGAACAGCGUGAUCGUAAAAGGUACGUGCAUGCACAUGUGACCGCCUCAUUAUUAUUACUUGCAGAGCCACAGAAUGAUUUCUGUGCUUACAGUGCUCACGCGUUAUCACGCAUAUCCUUUGUGAGCCAUCACGCUCGCCAGGCAUCGAUGUGACCAGAGAUCAACUGCGCCAUUGUAUAGUUGACGUCCAUUCACGACGCUUUUCAAAUAAUAAUAAUUAACAGCAGCCACACAUUAGGAAACUUCAUAAAUAUUUCGAUCUUCUCUAAAGAUGCAGAAAACGCGCCGCAAGCAUACCCAAUACUACCAAUGCAAUCUUUUCUGAAGCUUCGCAUACCCUGCAUUUUUUUUUUUUUUUUGCGGGAGGCUAUUUCUUUUUAUCGCGCGGGUUCUUUCCGGCAAUAUUUUUGGAAGUGUGCAUCGGCAGAAUUUCACUGGUGGCAUUAACCCUUUCGUGUUUACAUUGAUGUUGUGACAGUUAACAACACAAUAAUUUCCAGUCAUUCGAAGAGGCGCCGUCGGAAACAAGAGACGUUUCGCGCGCAGCGCGAGCUAAGCGCGGGCGCGACCUUGACGGGAAGCAGCGAAAACGUACACCUGUGGGAGGUGAAAUCAUUCCGCCGGGAGAGAAGCGAGCACCAUGCGAGUGCUGGCCUCUAGGAUGAAACUUGGCCUGCGAAAAAGGCGCGAAGGCGAGCGUUUCGCGCGUUUAUUGUGAGUGCGGAGGCGCCAUUUUCAGUUGUCACUACGGCUGCGCAAGGUGGUCAAGACUGUUGUUUCUUUCUCCUGAGCUCCUGGCCGGGUUGGCCCCGCAGUAAAGAUUCUGAGUGACAAAAGGGUGUGAAAUAGAAGGCAUCAAGGCAUCAGUGGGCAUUUUGUCUUCACUGAGUACUUCAAUGAGUGAAGGGCAGCCAGUCCACUGCAGUCUUUCUUUCUCGCAAGUCAUGGCUGCAUGCUUCUGAACGGCCUUUUUUGUGUGUAUCGAUCUUAAUAGAUUUGCUGUUGACAUG
This is a non-coding RNA of Dermacentor albipictus, 1058 nucleotides long. NCBI's taxonomy places the organism in Eukaryota, Metazoa, Arthropoda, Arachnida, Ixodida, Ixodidae. The record is from RefSeq and is a predicted model, not a curated record.